GGAAACUCUAGAAAAAAAAAAAUCCAAAAAUUUUGAAGAUUUAGGUGGAGAUGUGUUUUCAUGAUAUAGCAGUAGCAGCAUUUGGAGGCACACCAAGGGAAGAGUGCUUCUUUUGCAGCCUUCCUUUCAAUUGUCUGAUCUUUGCUUCUACUCUGGCUGUGAAUCCUAUCUUGGUCUUUUGCCUUGCCUUUGAUCUUUCCCUUGUCCACAUGUGAGUAUCUUCAACAUCCUUUCUGUAGUAUUUGAUUUCUUGGAUAAUGUGAUGAUCCAUUGGAUGGAAGCUUCUUUGGAAGGAUAUGUGGGCAAGAUAUGGGAGAUUACAGGUAAUUGUUACUAAAAUGGUGGCUAUCCAGUAAACAGGGGCAGGACCUAGUGCUUCAACAAAGAUUUUAUACGCAUUCCCAGAGGAUAUUAUCAUUCCAUAGAGUAAGAUGAACAAAUACCACAUGGCGAUACUACCCCAGACGAGAA
This 471-nucleotide unclassified non-coding RNA is filed under the name Hevea brasiliensis (rubber tree). Lineage: Eukaryota; Viridiplantae; Streptophyta; Magnoliopsida; Malpighiales; Euphorbiaceae. The record is from RNAcentral.